Molecule: long non-coding RNA, 765 nt
Filed under: Homo sapiens (human)
Lineage: Eukaryota; Metazoa; Chordata; Mammalia; Primates; Hominidae
Description: non-protein coding lnc-FGD6-5:1
Source: RNAcentral
UUACUGCAUUUUUUUUCUAUAUUUUCUCUUCUAAAAUAUUUGUAGCUUUAUUUUCUAAUUGUGAACUGCAUAACUAUUUUCUUGUAAGUAGAAUUGGAAAAAUAAACCAACCUUUAUGCCUUGUCUGGUUGUCAUUCUUAGCAUAAUAUCUACUUUAGUUCAAACAAUGAUUUAGCUGAGCUAUAAUACACUCUUAUAGUAUUUAGUCUGUUUCUUUGUUUGUUUUGGGUAUAGGAACAAUAUACUAUGAUUAAACCAAAUCAGUUGAACUUUUUCAUAUUUUACAUUACUGAUAGGAAGUGAAGAGUUAGUCACCAGAGUGAAAUGAUCUGUAAACACUCCACUGACUUACAAUUUUGUGGAAUGUAUCAGGACUUGAUUUUUUUAAUGCUUUAACACUAAAAGCUUUAUAACUUUUCUUACGUAAAUCAGAAUAUUACUAUUAAGAAAAUUGAGUUUUAAAUGGACUUUCCUACCUGGAGGUAGACAAAGGGUACAAAUUCUGUCUUCAAGAGUGACCUAAAUAGACUCUCACAUGCAUUCUUCCAUUAAGUACUAGGUUUGUCCUGGUAAAACAAACUACAGAAAUAUCUGUAUUAAAAACUGUCAGGAUGAUACUCCUAACAAGAAUCAUACUGUUAAAAAUCAUAUUGUAAAACUUAAAAAGCACAAUUAUAAGUUUUCCCUGCAGUGUUUUAUUUUUUUCCCCAGAGGGCUUCUUCUGUAUAUAGGGUAGCAGCUUUUUUUUUGAGACGGAGUCUCGCU